Molecule: ribosomal RNA, 440 nt
Filed under: uncultured bacterium
Lineage: Bacteria
Description: partial 16S ribosomal RNA
Rfam family: Bacterial small subunit ribosomal RNA
Source: RNAcentral
CUACGGGCCGCUCCAGUAACGAAUCUUCCGCAAUGCGCGAAAGCGUGACGGGGCAAUGCCGCGUGUGGGAUGAAGCCCUUCGGGGUGUAAACCACUGUCAGGGUCCGCCAACAACAUGAGGAGACCCAAAGGAAGAGCCGGCUAACUCUGUGCCAGCAGCCGCGGUAAUACAGAGGGCUCGAGCGUUAAUCGGAAUCACUGGGCUUAAAGCGUGCGUAGGCGGACUUGAAGGCACCUUGUGAAAUCCCUCGGCUCAACCGAGGAACUGCUUGGUGAACCACAAGUCUUGAGGUCGGUAGAGGCGGUCGGAACGAUAGGUGGAGCGGUGAAAUGCGUAGAUAUCUAUCGGAACGCCAAUGGUGCAGACAGGCCGCUGGGCCGCACCUGACGCUGAGGCACGAAAGCGUGGGGAUCAAACGGGAUUAGAUACCCUGGUAGUC